CCGGCCUAGUACCGAAAAACGAACCAAGUUACCCCAGGGAUAACAGCGCUAUCUUCUUUUAGAGUUCAUAUCAACAAGUUAAGGCUUACGACCUCGAUGUUGGAUCAGGACACCCAAAUGGUGCAGCCGCUAUUAAUGGUUCGUUUGUUCAACGAUUAACAGUCCUACGUGAUCU
This 175-nucleotide ribosomal RNA is filed under the name Zonosaurus subunicolor. Its description in RNAcentral is "partial large subunit ribosomal RNA". It matches the Rfam family "Bacterial large subunit ribosomal RNA", at positions 2434 to 2606 of the family's 2925-position model. The record is from RNAcentral. Lineage: Eukaryota; Metazoa; Chordata; Lepidosauria; Squamata; Gerrhosauridae.